GCAGCAGUGGGGAAUAUUGGACAAUGGGCGAAAGCCUGAUCCAGCAAUGCCGCGUGAGUGAUAAAGGCCUUAGGGUUGUAAAGCUCUUUUACUAGGGAUGAUAAUGACAGUACCUAGAGAAUAAGCUCCGGCUAACUCCGUGCCGCAGCC
Molecule: ribosomal RNA, 150 nt
Filed under: uncultured Erythrobacter sp.
Lineage: Bacteria; Pseudomonadati; Pseudomonadota; Alphaproteobacteria; Sphingomonadales; Erythrobacteraceae
Description: partial 16S ribosomal RNA
Rfam family: Bacterial small subunit ribosomal RNA
Source: RNAcentral